CACACGCACCACUUAGUCCAUGGCCAGCUCCCGCGUCCCAGGAUAAACUAAGCAAUCACUGCCCUGCUGCUUUCGGGUCGUCAGCGUCCCCUGUCUCCGAGUGGAGGCCAAGGAGGAACUGCGCACCGAUGUGGGGGUGGGAGGCGCCUGGCGGUUUCGCGCUUUGCCCGCCUUUUGAUUGCGCAGGAGUAGCGCGCUGGCGGGAGCCGCAGGGCAAAUAGCCCGCCCGGGUGCUUUGGUGUGUGGCACUUGCUGCCAUUCUGCCGCUGUAGGGUGAGCGGCGGUGGCGGGACGAGCAUCCAGGCGGCAUCCGGCGGCAGCAGCAGCAGACACAGCUCCACCCUGAGGACGCAGAAGCCCAGCCUCCAGCCCGACUGCCAGUCCCAGAGCCGGCUGCACCCCCGUCAGCGGGAGCUCUAGAGGGAGUCGGCCUGCUCCACAAAUGAUCCAACUUCGCGGAGGGCCUCGCGAACACAGACAACGCCAACCUGGACAAGAAAGCGGCCAGCACUGCUUAGGCGGCUUCCCACGACGCGCUUUGCUGAGUGCGGAAGUUUACCCUUCAGAUGAAGAUGCCAGAGUUGGGCAUCCCCAAAGUGAGGAUCAAAGAAAUGCUUUGCAUGGGGCUUGAGAAAACAUCUUACUGUUGAAGAACAGAACAUCUUACUAUCUAAGAACCUGAAUAGGAGAUGCCUUCAGUAGUGGGUGUUUGAAAAGUUGGUCAGAGAAGGGGAGAAGAUGGUUGAUUAAGGGGGGAUGGUGACAAUUAUUUUAUAACUUAUAGAACGACAGAUAUUUAUGUAAAAGUUGAUAGUUUGGGUGGAAUAAUCAUGAGCAUGUUUCUGAACUUAAUGUAAAAUAUCCAGAGACCCCUAAAAUCACUGCUUAAAUUACUCGGGCCUUGUGGUGUUUGGAAAGAGAACACUUUGGAAGUAUAAUGGUAAAAAUAAUUUUAUACAGAAAAAGAGAAGAGAAAACUUAACCACAGGUUUCUCAAAUCGCUGUUAUUCUUGAAUCAUCUGAAAUCAGUACACGUGACUGGCACCAAUAUAUAUCAGAGAAUAAAUCAUUGCACAAG
RNAcentral lists this long non-coding RNA (1078 nucleotides) under Macaca fascicularis (crab-eating macaque). RNAcentral describes it as "lncRNA (ENSMFAG00000063100.1)". The record is from RNAcentral. Lineage: Eukaryota; Metazoa; Chordata; Mammalia; Primates; Cercopithecidae.